Molecule: ribosomal RNA, 468 nt
Filed under: uncultured bacterium
Lineage: Bacteria
Description: partial 16S ribosomal RNA
Rfam family: Bacterial small subunit ribosomal RNA
Source: RNAcentral
GACGAACGCUGGCGGCGUGCUUAACACAUGCAAGUCGAACGGAAAGGCCCUGCUUUUGUGGGGUGCUCGAGUGGCGAACGGGUGAGUAACACGUGAGUAACCUGCCCUUGACUUUGGGAUAACUUCAGGAAACUGGGGCUAAUACCGGAUAGGAGCUCCUGCUGCAUGGUGGGGGAUGGAAAGUUUCGGCGGUUGGGGAUGGACUCGCGGCUUAUCAGCUUGUUGGUGGGGUAGUGGCUUACCAAGGCUUUGACGGGUAGCCGGCCUGAGAGGGUGACCGGCCACAUUGGGACUGAUAUACGGCCCAGACUCCUACGGGAGUCAGCAGUGGGGAAUAUUGCACAAUGGGCGGAAGCCUGAUGCAGCAACGCCGCGUGCGGGAUGACGGCCUUCGGUUUGUAAACCGCUUUCGCCUGUGACGAAGCGUGAGUGACGGUAAUGGGUAAAGAAGCACCGGCUAACUACGUG